GACGAACCGUCCAAACGUUAUUCGGAAUUACUGGGCUUAAAGGGUGCGUAGGCGGCUCAGAAAGUAGGGUGUGAAAGCCCUCGGCUCAACCGAGGAAUUGCGCCCUAAACUACUGGACUCGAGGGAGACAGAGGUAAGCGGAACUUACGGUGGAGCGGUGAAAUGCGUUGAUAUCGUAAGGAACACCAGGAGCGAAAGCGGCUUACUGGGUCUCUUCUGACGCUGAGGCACGAAAGCUAGGGGAGCGAACGGG
Molecule: ribosomal RNA, 253 nt
Filed under: uncultured bacterium
Lineage: Bacteria
Description: partial 16S ribosomal RNA
Rfam family: Bacterial small subunit ribosomal RNA
Source: RNAcentral